AGUGAACGCUGGCGGUAGGCCCAACACAUGCAAGUCGAACGGCAGCACAGUAAGAGCUUGCUCUUACGGGUGGCGAGUGGCGGACGGGUGAGGAAUACAUCGGAAUCUACUUUUUCGUGGGGGAUAACGUAGGGAAACUUACGCUAAUACCGCAUACGACCUACGGGUGAAAGCAGGGGAUCUUCGGACCUUGCGCGAUUGAAUGAGCCGAUGUCGGAUUGGCUAGUUGGCGGGGUAAAGGCCCACCAAGGCGACGAUCCGUAGCUGGUCUGAGAGGAUGAUCAGCCACACUGGAACUGAGACACGGUCCAGACUCCUACGGGAGGCAGCAGUGGGGAAUAUUGGACAAUGGGCGCAAGCCUGAUCCAGCCAUACCGCGUGGGUGAAGAAGGCCUUCGGGUUGUAAAGCCCCUUUGUUGGGAAAGAAAAGCAGCAGGUUAAUACCCCGCUGUUCUGACGGUACCCAAAGAAUAAGCACCGGCUAACUUCGUG
RNAcentral lists this ribosomal RNA (492 nucleotides) under uncultured bacterium. RNAcentral's name for it is "partial 16S ribosomal RNA". It matches the Rfam family "Bacterial small subunit ribosomal RNA", at positions 29 to 507 of the family's 1533-position model. The record is from RNAcentral.